ACGCGUGUAGCAAUACCCAGUGGCGAAAGGGCGAGGAAUAGAUUCCUACCUACCCCGGAGUCCGGGAUAACCAUCGGAAACGGUGGCUAACACCUGAUAAUCUCGAAAGAGCAAAGUUUACGCUCUGGGAGCGGGGAAUCUCCUAUCAGCUAGUUGGUGAGGUAACGGCUCACCAAGGCUUAGACGGGUAGCGGGUGUGAGAGCACGACCCGCCGCAUCGGGACUGAGACACUGCCCGGACUCCUACGGGAGGCUGCAGUAACGAAUCUUCCGCAAUGCGCGAAAGCGUGACGGGGCAAUGCCGCGUGUGGGACGAGGCCCCUCGGGGUGUAAACCACUGUCAGGGUCUAGGAACACAAUGACCAUACCCAAAGGAAGCACCGGCUAACUCUGUGCCAGCAGCCGCGGUAAUACAGAGGGUGCGAGCGUUAAUCGGAAUCACUGGGCUUAAAGGGUCCGUAGGCGGGACUGCAGGCGUCGAGUGAAAUCCCACGGCUCAACCGUGGAACUGCUCGGCGAACCGCAGUUCUUGAGGCGAGUAGAGGCGAUCAGAACGAUAGGUGGAGCGGUGAAAUGCGUAGAUAUCUAUCGGAAUGCCAAAGGUGAAGACAGGUCGCUGGGCUCGUCCUGACGCUGAGGGACGAAAGCGUGGGGAGCAAACGGGAUUAGAUACCCCGGUAGUCCACGCCGUAAACAAUGCGCACUGGGUCGGGGGGGUUUGACGCCCUCCUGGCCGAAGCAAAAGUGUUAAGUGCGUCGCCUGGGGAGUACGGUCGCAAGGCUAAAACUCAAGGAAUUGACGGGGGCUCACACAGCGGUGGA
This 822-nucleotide ribosomal RNA is filed under the name uncultured Planctomycetota bacterium. RNAcentral describes it as "bacterial SSU rRNA". It matches the Rfam family "Bacterial small subunit ribosomal RNA", at positions 66 to 936 of the family's 1533-position model. Lineage: Bacteria; Pseudomonadati; Planctomycetota. The record is from RNAcentral.